GACGAACGCUGGCGGCGUGCUUAACACAUGCAAGUCGAACGGAAAGGCCCUGCUUUUGUGGGGUGCUCGAGUGGCGAACGGGUGAGUAACACGUGAGUAACCUGCCCUUGACUUUGGGAUAACUUCAGGAAACUGGGGCUAAUACCGGAUAGGAGCUCCUGCUGCAUGGUGGGGGUUGGAAAGUUUCGGCGGUUGGGGAUGGACUCGCGGCUUAUCAGCUUGUUGGUGGGGUAGUGGCUUACCAAGGCUUUGACGGGUAGCCGGCCUGAGAGGGUGACCGGCCACAUUGGGACUGAGAUACGGCCCAGACUCCUACGGGAGGCAGCAGUGGGGAAUAUUGCACAAUGGGCGGAAGCCUGAUGCAGCAACGCCGCGUGCGGGAUGACAGCCUUCGGGUUGUAAACCGCUUUCGCCUGUGACGAGGCGUGAGUGACGGUAAUGGGUAAAGAAGCACCGGCUAACUACGUG
Molecule: ribosomal RNA, 468 nt
Filed under: uncultured bacterium
Lineage: Bacteria
Description: partial 16S ribosomal RNA
Rfam family: Bacterial small subunit ribosomal RNA
Source: RNAcentral